CGAACGAUGAUGCCCAGCUUGCUGGGUGGAUUAGUGGCGAACGGGUGAGUAACACGUGAGUAACCUGCCCCUGACUCUGGGAUAAGCGUUGGAAACGACGUCUAAUACUGGAUAUGAUCACUGGCCGCAUGGUCUGGUGGUGGAAAGAUUUUUUGGUUGGGGAUGGACUCGCGGCCUAUCAGCUUGUUGGUGAGGUAAUGGCUCACCAAGGCGACGACGGGUAGCCGGCCUGAGAGGGUGACCGGCCACACUGGGACUGAGACACGGCCCAGACUCCUACGGGAGGCAGCAGUGGGGAAUAUUGCACAAUGGGCGAAAGCCUGAUGCAGCAACGCCGCGUGAGGGAUGACGGCCUUCGGGUUGUAAACCUCUUUUAGUAGGGAAGAAGCGAAAGUGACGGUACCUGCAGAAAAAGCACCGGCUAACUACGUGCCAGCAGCCGCGGUAAUACGUAGGGUGCAAGCGUUGUCCGGAAUUAUUGGGCGUAAAGAGCUCGUAGGCGGUUUGUCGCGUCUGCUGUGAAAUCCCGAGGCUCAACCUCGGGCUUGCAGUGGGUACGGGCAGACUAGAGUGCGGUAGGGGAGAUUGGAAUUCCUGGUGUAGCGGUGGAAUGCGCAGAUAUCAGGAGGAACACCGAUGGCGAAGGCAGAUCUCUGGGCCGUAACUGACGCUGAGGAGCGAAAGCAUGGGGAGCGAACAGGAUUAGAUACCCUGGUAGUCCAUGCCGUAAACGUUGGGCGCUAGAUGUAGGGACCUUUCCACGGUUUCUGUGUCGUAGCUAACGCAUUAAGCGCCCCGCCUGGGGAGUACGGCCGCAAGGCUAAAACUCAAAGGAAUUGACGGGGGCCCGCACAAGCGGCGGAGCAUGCGGAUUAAUUCGAUGCAACGCGAAGAACCUUACCAAGGCUUGACAUACACCGGAAACGGCCAGAGAUGGUCGCCCCCUUGUGGUCGGUGUACAGGUGGUGCAUGGUUGUCGUCAGCUCGUGUCGUGAGAUGUUGGGUUAAGUCCCGCAACGAGCGCAACCCUCGUUCUAUGUUGCCAGCGGGUUAUGCCGGGGACUCAUAGGAGACUGCCGGGGUCAACUCGGAGGAAGGUGGGGAUGACGUCAAAUCAUCAUGCCCCUUAUGUCUUGGGCUUCACGCAUGCUACAAUGGCCGGUACAAAGGGCUGCGAUACCGUAAGGUGGAGCGAAUCCCAAAAAGCCGGUCUCAGUUCGGAUUGAGGUCUGCAACUCGACCUCAUGAAGUCGGAGUCGCUAGUAAUCGCAGAUCAGCAACGCUGCGGUGAAUACGUUCCCGGGCCUUGUACACACCGCCCGUCAAGUCAUGAAAGUCGGUAACACCCGAAGCCGGUGGCCUAACCCUUGUGGAAGGA
RNAcentral lists this ribosomal RNA (1378 nucleotides) under Curtobacterium sp. MDT2-33-1. RNAcentral's name for it is "bacterial SSU rRNA". It matches the Rfam family "Bacterial small subunit ribosomal RNA". Lineage: Bacteria; Bacillati; Actinomycetota; Actinomycetes; Micrococcales; Microbacteriaceae. The record is from RNAcentral.